This 237-nucleotide ribosomal RNA is filed under the name uncultured Variovorax sp. RNAcentral describes it as "partial 16S ribosomal RNA". It matches the Rfam family "Bacterial small subunit ribosomal RNA", at positions 116 to 356 of the family's 1533-position model. Lineage: Bacteria; Pseudomonadati; Pseudomonadota; Betaproteobacteria; Burkholderiales; Comamonadaceae. The record is from RNAcentral.
CAUCGGAACGUGCCCAAUCGUGGGGGAUAACGCAGCGAAAGCUGUGCUAAUACCGCAUACGAUCUACGGAUGAAAGCAGGGGAUCGCAAGACCUUGCGCGAAUGGAGCGGCCGAUGGCAGAUUAGGUAGUUGGUGAGGUAAAGGCUCACCAAGCCUUCGAUCUGUAGCUGGUCUGAGAGGACGACCAGCCACACUGGGACUGAGACACGGCCCAGACUCCUACGGGAGGCAGCAGUG